ACAUCAAAGAAAUUGGAAUCUUCCUGCAGAUUUCUCUGAGAACAUGAAGACUGCUAUUCAGCAAACUGAUAUUCAUGCAGGAAGUGAUCAAAUCAAGUGGAAACAUGGGAAUUUCUCUCUGAAAGCAGCAUGGAAUUGUUGCAGAGUUACUGGAAACAGGUGUAAAUGGGCUAGAUUGUGUUGGAAACAUUGCAGUUGAGAUUUGGAGAGAGGUUUUUGAUUUGCUGCAGCUACAGGUCCCUCAGUUUUUAAGUCUCAAUCACAUUGUGGACUGGUUUUUGCAAAACACUAUGACAAAGUCUCUUAAAUCUAAGAUUUUGAAUGGGAUUUUUCCAGUUACUCUAUGGAAGAUAUGGUCCAGUAGAAAUGUUAUGCUUCAUACAGGGAUACAAGAACAGAGCUCACAUGCAGUGCAAGCUAUUAUUUGGGAUGUUAUCACAUAUCUCAAUAUUAGUUUAGCAGACUUAUUGAUUGUAUUUGGUUUGUAAUUUUUCAUUAUGAGGUUUGCUGUUUGCUGAAAUUGGAAUUUAUUUCCUUUUUUAGGCUUUGGAGAUUUGUCUCCUAAUAUAAUUGUACUAUUUUGAAUAUUUUUAUAAAAUCAACCCAUUCAGGAAAAAAAAAAGGUAGAUCUGGCUCUUGAAGAUCGUUAUUUACCCAAAGAGAAUGGUGGAUCUGGUUCUUCAAGCUCUCUUUCUUCAAGCUCAUGGAAAAUCAAGAUGGACACAGAUUGGAGUGACAUAUCGUCUUCAUCGUCUAAUGAUUCAGAUGAAGAUUUUGAUGACCUUGUAGAUUGUAUGUAUUUGAAUUUGAUGUACGAGCAUGAAGAUUCCUUUAAAUUCAAGGUACCAAAGGGAACUUCAGGGUUAACAGGUCACGAGUAUGUUCAGGAAUUGUUGAAUGACCAUGUCGGUCGAUGUUUUGAUUUAUUACGAAUGGAUAGAUAAGUCUUUCUGAAAUUAUGUCGAAUGUUGAGAGAACGUAAAUUGCUGGAAGACACACAUACAAUUUCAAUCGAGGAGUCAGUGGUAAUGUUUUUGUUCAUUAGAGGACAUAAUAUUCGUCAUGUAGUGGUAGCUGAACGAUUUCAACAUUCUGGCGAAACAGUUUCCAGACAUUUUAAUCUCGUAUUGAGAGCAAUAUGUCGCCUUGGGAAAUUCCUCAUACGUUCACCACAAAGCAAUGAUGUGCCUUCUCAUAUACUUCAUAAUCCUAAAUACUAUCCUUGGUUUAAGAAUUGCAUUGGAGCAAUUGAUCGAACACAUAUAAGUGCUUUUGCACCUGCCAGCAAACAAACUCCUUAUAGAGGAAGAAAGUCUAUAGUGACAUAAAAUGUCAUGUGUGCUUGCUCAUUUGAUAUGCUAUUUACUUUCGUUUACGCGGGUUGGGAGGGAACGACAAAUGAUUCGAGAGUUUUUA
This is a long non-coding RNA of Cornus florida, 1416 nucleotides long. RefSeq lists it as uncharacterized. The record is from RefSeq and is a predicted model, not a curated record. Lineage: Eukaryota; Viridiplantae; Streptophyta; Magnoliopsida; Cornales; Cornaceae. The transcript has 3 exons.